AGUCUCCCUAUCCUCGUUCGUUCUAGCAUUUGUGGAGUUUCCAACUCUUCAUUCAAGACUGAAUCCAUCAGUAGAAGAGAGCACACCCGAUUUGAGGCAGGGGCCUGAGAGACUGAAAAUGGUCUUUUCUUUUAAUUGCAUUUUAAAGAACUUCCCAGUUACUUGCAAAAAAUAAAAAUAAAAAUUACUCCGCACCCCCGUGCGUGAGCCCCUUCGGCAAGAUCUUUUGAGGUUUCCCUUUUUGUCAAGAGGAUCAUCGGAACAAGAAUAAUAAAAACCGGAAUCGGUGCCAGAUUCCACACACCCCACGCCGCGCCCUCCCAAACUUCAGCCCCUUAACUAUCCAGGAUAGAUACAGCCCCAACUGCGAAGGUAGAGAAAAGGAAACAUUGGCGGAAAUCCCA
Hemicordylus capensis (graceful crag lizard) is the source of this 404-nucleotide long non-coding RNA. RefSeq lists it as uncharacterized. Lineage: Eukaryota; Metazoa; Chordata; Lepidosauria; Squamata; Cordylidae. The transcript has 2 exons. The record is from RefSeq and is a predicted model, not a curated record.